Long non-coding RNA from Anguilla anguilla (European eel), 2078 nucleotides. RefSeq lists it as uncharacterized. The transcript is spliced from 3 exons. Lineage: Eukaryota; Metazoa; Chordata; Actinopteri; Anguilliformes; Anguillidae. The record is from RefSeq and is a predicted model, not a curated record.
AGACAGAGAGAGGCUGCUCUUUGCUUGAUGAUGAUUGCCACAGAUUUCUUUAGAAAAGAAACCCGACAAAGAGGUAAACAAGAGAAAUGGCUCCAAAGAAAAUAUACAAAGGAGAGUUUAGAGGCCAUUUUGUGCUUCCGGCGAUGGGGAUGAGAGAAAGAGAGAAGAGCAUUUCCCAGCAUUCCCAAUGAGGUCUCAGGGCCGUAAGGAGCACCAGCGAUAGCGAAGUUAGCGGUAACGGCUUCAGGGCUGAAAGGGUCAGCGCGUGAUGAGCGGAUGGGGGGAACGGAUUCCAGCAGAGAGGAGAUUCUGAUGCGUGCCCACGCUCAGCCAAUCCACUCUCUCCACCGCGAGAGGCGUCCGCCCACGCUCAGCCAAUCCGCUCUCUCCGCAGCGAGAGGCGUAUGCCCACGCUCAGCCAAUCACCUCUCUCCCUCCGCAGCGAGAGGCCAGACGCUGGAUCUCGGCCACCUCCACAAUCGAUACAGUUUCUCCAGUCGUCCACUGGCCCCGCAGUUCAUACGCCUGUAAUUCUCCCCCUGCUGAAGAGGCCUUCCAUCCCUCCAGGUUACUGCACAGCAACGUGAGGAACACCUCUUUUUACUGGCCGACUGUACACUGGCGCUAUUCAGUUCCCCACACGCUGCUGAGGAUUGGCGGUCAGCUGGCGGUCCGAAGGAGGUCGCCACGUCUCCCCCGAGACACGGCUCUUCAAGCUCCUGCCCGUGACUCCGGUGCGACACGAGGACCGCGCGAAAUUCCCCACCGAGACCUUUUUUUUUGUUUGUUUUGUUUUUAAAGAAAAAAAAAAACAAGGUUCGCUCUGAAAACAGCAAGAAUCCAUUAUUAGUGAAUGGAAGUCCAGCUUAUAUCCUUUACAUAACACAAGCCUCGUCAUGGUUCAUCAAGUCCUAGGUCUUCCCGUCACAAAGUAAACCAACAGCACAGCUUGUAAGCCCUGAUUGAAUUUGCUCGUCGCGCUGCUCAGGCAGAUCAAAAGCGACAUUUGCAUUCGGCUUCUCGAGCCUUUUUCACCGACAGAGUUUACACCUGGAUUUCAGCCGUCACGCAGUGAGACGCACGUCCACGCCUUAGCGAGGUGUUCCUGCUUUUGAAAAAUCUCAUUAGGCCCCACCGAGCUGUGACUGGCAUUAACGCACACCCGAAUUUCGCAGGCGAUAAUAUGAGCUCUGCGGUGUGUUUGUGUGUGUGUGUGCGUGUGUGCGCGCGUGUGUGUUCGUAAAAUCUGGCCCCGUAAACCAAUAUCUAAAGCCAGAAGACUGUUCAGAGAGUUGCCGGUCUCCAAAGCGGGGAGAUAUCUGGUCGCAGCACAGACUGGUAAUGAAGAACAUUAUCGGCAUCUACGCCAAGCAGUGUGAAUUGUGGCUGUUACCAUGACAGCCAGACAGACACCAGAGGGUCCCGACGAGCCAGAGUUCUGGGAAAGCGGGCACAAGGAGAGACUCGCAGUCAAACUUUCACCAUCAAUCUUCCUGACUUUUACUAAUCCUGAGAAUAAGACUAGUACUAGAGGAGUAUGCAGGAAGGGCAUUUUGGAUCUUUUUUUACAUUUUAUUUUAUUUUUUUGCUUUGGUACGUCACAUGGUUCUGCUGUUCUAACUAUAACUGUGAGACAGGCAUUGUUAAUCCAUUUGGAGUCAUUUUACUGUGAAAUACUCAGAAGCCCUCAGGCCAUUUAAAAAAAAAAAAAGCUAACUGGCAUCAGGAGCGCUUCCACUUUUAAGUUAAGUUGCUGCUUUACUUUUGCGGUCAGUUUUCAUUUGUUCUGUUUCACCAUUAAAACGUCUCAGGACAGCAGAAGUGAUUUGGUCUAAUUAAGCAUCAGAUAUGAGAGUGGUGUCCCCUCAGUUAGUCAAGCUGUGCCAGGAACACACUGUGUUCCCAAAUUAAUUUGUGCAUCCUGCAGGAGCCCUAUUUAUCACUGACAGGCUGUCCAUCUGCAAUCCAGAUGAGAGCGGGGCCUGCACUUAUAGUUAUACUGUGUGUGUGUGUGUGUGUGUGGGUGUGUGCGAGUGUGUGUGUAUGAGUAUGUGGGUGUGUUUGUGUGUGUGUGCAAG